AAGUCGUAACAAGGUAACCGUAGGUGAACCUGCGGUUGGAUCAUUAAAAAUCAAUUCACGUUUUCCCUCUCACGAGUUGAAAACGUUCCUUUCGGGGUAAACACAUUUUGUGCAAUGUCCGUCUCUGGCGAGGGGGCAGCGAAAGCUGCUUGCCAUCACAUGCCUGCAUGUGCCGUGGGCACCUCGCCAAACCCUUCUAUACUUUUAUUCGUUCUUUGAUGUCUGACAUUACUUGUAUAAAUAUACAAAACAACUUUUGGCAACGGAUCUCUUGGCUCUC
RNAcentral lists this unclassified non-coding RNA (280 nucleotides) under air metagenome. Its description in RNAcentral is "partial contains small subunit ribosomal RNA, internal transcribed spacer 1, and 5.8S ribosomal RNA". The stretch from base 1 to 46 matches the Rfam family "Eukaryotic small subunit ribosomal RNA", at positions 1786 to 1831 of the family's 1831-position model. The record is from RNAcentral.